Monomorium pharaonis (pharaoh ant) is the source of this 4017-nucleotide long non-coding RNA. RefSeq lists it as uncharacterized. The transcript has 6 exons. NCBI's taxonomy places the organism in Eukaryota, Metazoa, Arthropoda, Insecta, Hymenoptera, Formicidae. The record is from RefSeq and is a predicted model, not a curated record.
UCGUCAUUGGCUGCUUCUCUUCGCCUCUUCGCCGCAGCGCGCGCGCGGAACGCGAAACGUGAAACACCGAACCGGAAUCGGACCGUAUCCUCAAUUUGCGCGCCUUUUUUCCCCCUCCUCUCCCACUAUCUCUCUUCCGCUCUUCUGUCGUGCCAUCUAUCUGCCUCUAUCUCGACUCGUUGGAAAAGAUGUCCGUUCCGUGUCCGCUCGUUCCGCCAUUUUGGAGCCGUCUCCUCCUGGGAUGAAUCGCGCUGUGGACGACCAAGUUUUCGUUUCCCCGUUCGUUUUUCUUUUCCUGUUAACGAGGACGUUUUGCACGGAGCUAUUGGAGACCCUAGUCGACUCGCCAACCGACAAAAUUCCAAUUACCAGUGAUAGACGAGGGAAUUGCACGCGCGAGAGCAAGUCGAGAAAUUACUCGAAUAGUUGCGCAUGUUCAUUUUAUUACAGUCGAAAAUCAAUUAGCUAGGUGAAGAUUAGCUAACCUCGUCUCACGAGCGAACUUGAAACCUCACAUAUAUAGUAUUUAUGUAUACGAUAAAGGGACUCGAAAUAUCGACGUCCUUCUCUCGCUGUUGGAGAUCUGGCAUGUUUUUGAAAGAAGGCGGCUAAUCACCGAUUAAGGCGAUCUUUCUUCCGAUGCGUUUCUCCCGGAACGAGCUCGCUGCUGGCGAUCAGGGGAAAUACAUCGAACGCACAUCUACAAUACUGAUCGAGUUGCACUGUUGCUCGCCGAUGCAAAAAGGGAGGCAAUCAAUCAUGGCGCGUAUAAUCCAAUUCCGUCUGCCAGUUUAUCGAUAGUGCAAGAGGGGACAACGAAAAUCGUGGCAAAAACGCUCCGAGCGAAGAUAGGAAUUUAUGACAAAUCGACAAAAUAUCAUUAAUGUCGGGCGUAAAUAGGAUAUCGCGACAUUUCGAAACGAAGCCAAUCAGCAUUCAAUCUCAGCAACAAUUGAUUGCGAAAAACUCGCAACUUCCAGCUCGCCUGACUUUACGACGUCACUCAAUUUUCAGCUGACAAGUCUCGCUUGGCGAAACUCGAAAAGUAGGAAAUAUCGUGUGGUGUCGGAUUUACGAGGGCGAACAAUUAUUUGCGCCGAAAAUAUAUCCCUGUUUGUUCGCCUCUAUUGUUGAUGUCAGCGUGAUCGAGCAGCCUCGGAAAAUGUAGUACCACUUACUUUCAAUCGAUAUUUUUGUAAUUCAACAACGAUGCAAGAGAGGAUAAAGAAGAAAACAUAGCAUUACGAAACAUAAUAAGACGAUGUGUCCUUAGAUAAAUGAAUCUUAAAUAAAAUGGAAACUUAUCAAACUCAGAACAUGCUGAUUACAAACGCUGAAUUAAGGAAUUAUCUUCAAUCCAAUGAUUGUUAGGCAUAGCCACUGGUAACGCCUAAGAAUAUAGGCCAUCUCUUCAUUUCUAUGUAUUAUUAGAUCGAUAUAAAAAGAGGAAAGGGAUAAAAAUAGAGAGAGAAAGAAAGGAAGAAAGAAGAGGAUGAGACGAGAGGCAGAAUACUAAACUGUUUUAAACCACACCUCAUUGCCAUGAAGAAACUUUCUCGCAAUUUGCUACAGUUUCACUGAAGUUUCAAUCACGACGGGCGUAAUUUCACCGUGGUUUUGAAUGCCUCUUAAUGACGAACACGAUGUUUAUUGACGCGACAUUUGCGCGUACUCGCAUUAAAUUCAAGACAGAAACAGCAUUGCGAAUUUGAGAAAAGAUUUUAUAAAAGUAAGCACACGCGUAUAUUUCACGAAAGUCGUUACAUUAUUAUUUAUUCCAUUCGCAAUUAACGUAAUUCAUUUGCUUUAUUAUCUGACCGAAUGAAUUAAUUUACCUUUUUGCAUAUUGACAUUUAUGAACGCAUUGUUAUUAUAUUUAAUAUAAUAAUAUCAAAAAAUGCAUAAUUUUUUAUCACUUUUAUUUUUAAAUGAUGCAUAUCGCGCACAUUGCGGUACUCUGUCUUCAUGUCACUCACGAGAAUGCGUUUCUUUCGCAUACAUCAUAAAAUCUCAUGACUAUAAGAAAAUGUAGUUUUACCAAAAAGUUGCAUUCAAAAUUAGAUGUAUAUGUACAAUAUAUUUAUAUUUGUUCUAGCAGCGCACGGCUUUUUUCGUGGAGAAAACUUCGCAUUCCUCUUUUCUCCUCCUUUUCAUCUCCCGUAAAGCCCAGCAACGUGAAAGAUUUCGCGUUUCUACACUGUUUUAUGAGCAUGUUAAAAGCAGCAAGAAAAAUGUUACGAAAUGCGUCUACUCGUCCAUUCGUUUGUUGGUACGUUCGUCGGUCGUGAAAACUCUUGCGCCGAGUUAACGGGUUCUCGGUAUGAAAAUUCUGUACUUUCUGGAAGGCGGAAGGAACCGUUGGAAUGCGCGUAGGGUUCCGGAUAAUGACGCAGAUACGUGGCACAAUUUCAUGAAAAUGCAUACCAUACGCAGCACAAAUACCACGCGUGCAAUGCAAUCGUGUGCGGUCAAGAGUGCGAUCGGGGAUUGUAUCCCACAGUGAUGCAGUCAGACUGCAAUCGAAAUGGGGCAAGAAUGUUGAAGCCGUUCGAUAAUUUCAGCGAUGCGACUGACAAAUAUUUUAAUUAAUUCUGUCCGCAAAUAUAAAUGACACUUCAAGUAGGAAACAUCAUAAUUUGAAUCUCAAAAGAAAUCACUUGAAUUACAUAAACUGCAAAUAUAAUAUAGAAGCUGUAUUAUUGAGAUUAUUUUUAUUGAUUCUAUAUUGUUUAAUAAUUUAUUUUAUAUGUUGUGUCAGUUUUAAAUACACAAUCUUAAAUUAUAAACUCUCAUAUGAAAUCAUAUCAUUACCUUACAUGAAUGUCGAGAUAUGAAAAUUUCAAGGAAAAAAAUUUAUUCUUGGCAAUUUUUAAUGCGAUACUUCUGACAGAUUUUUUCAGAACAUAUGCUCCAUCCAGGAUGACGAUCUUUUCCUCGUCUAGAAAGGAAAGGAAAAGCUGCUUAUUGUAAAAAUAAGUAAAGUCGGUUUUGUCAAUUUAAUUGCGGUUGUGUAAGAAAUCCGACAUUUAAGAUAUUAUCGAUAACACGCGAGACAACAUCGGAGAACUUUUGUCAACAUUCGUCAGGAUGACGUCUACACAGUUUGGUUGGGAUUUGCUUGACUUUUGCGUUGAUGAAAAAUCUCCAUGGAUUCUCGUCGCGGUCAUUUAAUACGUAAACAGCUAUAUAAUGAAGCAACGCAAUGGAUUUUCAAGAAUCGUUAUUGGGCUCACGUUGGCGAUUGUGUAAAAUAUUAUCAGACUUAUCAUGAUAAACGUUCGAGAAAAUUUUUGUUUAACUCUUAACUAUGGACACACACGCAUUACACAGUGAUGGAUGUGGAAUUCUUGAAACCCCUACAUUUAGAAUAUUUAGAUAUUGAAAAAAAUAGAAAUAAAAAUUGUAUUCCGCAUGUGAUUGUAUCUGUUGUGUUUUUAAACAUUAAUCGUUAGUUUUGCUUUUCUAGAAAAAGAACACAACUGAAUUACACAAAGCGAGUGGCAGAUGUCCCAGAAACUCCUCUUUUCUCUACAUUUAGUUGAAAGUUAACGUAAUGAGAUUUUUAUAAUUUUAGUAACAUUUGUUUGAAACUAGAUAUAAUUCUGUGUAAUGCAGUCGUUGAGAUUUGUCACAUGUCUGAAAACUUUUAGAGUUGUAAAGUGUAUGUACUGGUGAAGUACCUAACGAUGCAUUUGCUUAGCUCGUCGAACAUUGCAGAUCGCGAAACUAUUCAGGGCAACUGUUUCAACGGCCACUGCGAGGAGUUUGGGUAGAAAUUAAUGGAAUCCUUGGCAGGAUGUAACAUGGCACACAGACAUUCUACGUGUUAUAUAUCGGUGACAUGUUUGUAAGAUAGAAAAGCAUUCCUUCGAACGGUGGUCUUUGAUUACUGGCGCACGCGAUGAAAAAAUCAAAUACGUCUCGUCAAGUUCAUAUGGGAUGCUUUUUUAUAUAUAUUCUUUUUAAAAAAUAUAUAACAAGUAAUUUUUCUACGUUCAAAAGAAUUAUUGUUUUACA